GAGGCUGAAGUGGGUCAGGCUGCUUUGCACCCCGGGCUCCAGGCAGGGGGUGGGGCGACUGGCGCCCAACGGUGACCUGUCCUGCGACAUCAGGUCCACAAACUCCUUGCAAAUCUCCCUGAAGACAUGAAAUGAGAGAGGUGAUUGAACCGCUUGAAGAUCUCGGCAGAUCAAGAACUCACUUGGUGGCCAGCAGCAUACUGCGUCGUGUGGGCAGCUGAUCUGGGUCGGAUUGUCUGCACAGAUACUCUGCUGUGGCCCGGGCGGGGAACUCGGUUUCGCACACGUACCCGAAGUCCCGUGCGAGAUGAACCGCCUCACCUGAGAAGAGAGCGUGAAGAUUGGAAAAUGGAACUUGAAUGUGCUGACUGAAAGCUUGAGUACCUUCCACCAGCGCUGUGAGGAGUGUGACGUUGGCUGCCUUUCGCCGACCAGCAGGCAGGUUGAGGCCGAUCUUCUCCAGACGUUCUCGCAGACAGCGGCCUCCGUUUUUUGACUUGGCUCUGAAGGAGAACAGGACUCCUCCGAGCAGCGAGGCAUUGAGGCACUCAGGUGGGGCCAGGCGUCUCUGCACUUCUCCAACUGUGACCUUGUACUUAGAGGUGGAGCUGAGGAGCGACAAGCGGCCCGGGACAGAGCAGAAAACCUCUGCG
Onychostoma macrolepis is the source of this 653-nucleotide long non-coding RNA. RefSeq lists it as uncharacterized. NCBI's taxonomy places the organism in Eukaryota, Metazoa, Chordata, Actinopteri, Cypriniformes, Cyprinidae. The record is from RefSeq and is a predicted model, not a curated record. The transcript has 4 exons.